UCUUGAAGCUCAUAAUUUGGUAGAGGCGACCUUCCCUCAACCACAUGUUGAAAUCCAUCUCCAACCUCAUUAAACGUGUGGUUGCAGAAAACAUUUCAGUACUAUUAAAACACAUUUCUUGUGUUAUUGGUGCCUUCUGAUCCACGUGAACCAACAGCGAGGAUGAAGGCUCUCAGUCACGGUAAUUCUAAGUGCUGUAUCGUAGGUAACUGGACUUGUUUCUGUUCCUUGUAGACGUUUCAGCUCUCAUCCAAGAGGCUUCUUCAGUUCUAACUAACUGGAGGGGAGUUGCAGGGUUUUAGACUCUGUGUGGGUGAAACCUCACAGAGUCAUUCAAGGACACGUGUGAGCUCAGGAGUGGAUGGUUGUUAAGCUGCCUGGGGAGGGAAACUCGGUUCCAGUUUGACAUAAACUACAUGAUUCGACGUAAACACAAACAAAAGAGCAAGAAGUCAAGAGCAGCACGGAGCUUCUAAUUGUCUUUCUUGUUGAGAAGCUCUUUGUUCCCCGCUGCCAUGUUCAUGGAUUAAAUUGAGGGGUGAAUGUAAUCCUCGCCUCGGGCUGAGGGUUUUCCAGAUCUGCACAUUCCACAGCAGAGAGACAACACUCAGCGGAGAUGCCUCAAGCGUACCAAAUCUUAAGUCUGUAUGUAGAAGACAAGAAGGGACUAGUGUGCAGUCUACAGUCAGGUACCGCACGAGUGCUUCUUGCAUGAGCGAAAUAAAAAAAAAACUAAUUGGCCAACCCUCAAGACACCAAAGUUACAGCUGCAGCGGCUUCAACACUUUUGCAACGCGGUCUUAACCAAAAAUAUUCUGCCUUCACUCCCAAACUUGACGAAGAAUACUUGCAACAGGAAAACAUUCUCUUCCUGGAGUCAGAGCUCGAGUUUUUCACAAUCGUCCGAAAGAAAUGAACAUAAAUGAACCGUUCUGCCUGGAAAUGAAUGGAAACCUGGUCAGAGUUGUAACAAGGACACAAGUUGCAGUUGUAUUAGCGACUAUUUCAACAUCCAGUCAGGACUUUACAUGCUGGUGAAACAAUUUUUGUGCAACUUUUGUGAAUAAAGUGUUUCAGUGUU
Molecule: long non-coding RNA, 1081 nt
Organism: Acanthopagrus latus (yellowfin seabream)
Lineage: Eukaryota; Metazoa; Chordata; Actinopteri; Spariformes; Sparidae
Exons: 2
Source: RefSeq, a predicted model, not a curated record